Molecule: ribosomal RNA, 857 nt
Filed under: Callistosporium luteo-olivaceum
Lineage: Eukaryota; Fungi; Basidiomycota; Agaricomycetes; Agaricales; Callistosporiaceae
Description: partial large subunit ribosomal RNA
Rfam family: Eukaryotic large subunit ribosomal RNA
Source: RNAcentral
CCUAGUAACUGCGAGUGAAGCGGGAAGAGCUCAAAUUUAAAAUCUGGCAGUUCUGACUGUCCGAGUUGUAAUCUAGAGAAGUGCUAUCCGUGCUGGACCGUGUACAAGUCUCCUGGAAUGGAGCGUCAUAGAGGGUGAGAAUCCCGUCUCUGACACGGACUCCCAGUGCAUUGUGAUGCGCUCUCAAAGAGUCGAGUUGUUUGGGAAUGCAGCUCUAAAUGGGUGGUAAAUUCCAUCUAAAGCUAAAUAUUGGCGAGAGACCGAUAGCGAACAAGUACCGUGAGGGAAAGAUGAAAAGAACUUUGGAAAGAGAGUUAAACAGUACGUGAAAUUGUUGAAAGGGAAACGCUUGAAGUCAGUCGCGUUGACUGAGGAUCAACCUUGCUUUUGCUUGGUGUACUUCUCAGCCGAUGGGCCAGCAUCAAUUUUGAUCAGUGGAUAAAGGUCGAGGGAAUGUGGCAUCUCCGGAUGUGUUAUAGCCCUUGAUUGUAUACAUUGGUUGGGAUUGAGGAACUCAGCACGCCGCAAGGCCGGGUUUUUAACCACGUCCGUGCUUAGGAUGCUGGCAUAAUGGCUUUAAUCGACCCGUCUUGAAACACGGACCAAGGAGUCUAACAUGCCUGCGAGUAUUUGGGUGGAAAACCCAUGUGCGCAAUGAAAGUGAAGAUCAGGAUCCCUGUCGUGGGGAGCACUGAUGCCCGGACCAGAGCUUUUGUGACGGAUCUGCGGUAGAGCAUGUAUGUUGGGACCCGAAAGAUGGUGAACUAUGCCUGAAUAGGGUGAAGCCAGAGGAAACUCUGGUGGAGGCUCGUAGCGAUUCUGACGUGCAAAUCGAUCGUCAAAUUUGGGUAUAGGGG